AUUGAACGCUGGCGGCAGGCCUAACACAUGCAAGUCGAACGGUAGCACAGAGAGCUUGCUCUCGGGUGACGAGUGGCGGACGGGUGAGUAACGUCUGGGAAACUGCCCGAUGGAGGGGGAUAACUACUGGAAACGGUAGCUAAUACCGCAUAACGUCGCAAGACCAAAGUGGGGGACCUUCGGGCCUCACACCAUCGGAUGUGCCCAGAUGGGAUUAGCUAGUAGGUGGGGUAAUGGCUCACCUAGGCGACGAUCCCUAGCUGGUCUGAGAGGUUGCCCGGCCACACUGGAACUGAGACACGGUCCAGACUCGUCCGGGAGGCAGCAGUGGGGAAUAUUGCACAAUGGGCGCAAGCCUGAUGCAGCCAUGCCGCGUGUAUGAAGAAGGCCUUCGGGUUGUAAAGUACUUUCAGCGGGGAGGAAGGCGGUGAAGUUAAUAGCUUCACCGAUUGACGUUACCCGCAGAAGAAGCACCGGCUAACUCCGUGCCAGCCGCCGCCGUAA
Molecule: ribosomal RNA, 504 nt
Filed under: uncultured bacterium
Lineage: Bacteria
Description: partial 16S ribosomal RNA
Rfam family: Bacterial small subunit ribosomal RNA
Source: RNAcentral